Molecule: ribosomal RNA, 427 nt
Filed under: uncultured bacterium
Lineage: Bacteria
Description: partial 16S ribosomal RNA
Rfam family: Bacterial small subunit ribosomal RNA
Source: RNAcentral
UGGGGAAUAUUGGACAAUGGGCGAAAGCCUGAUCCAGCCAUGCCGCGUGUGUGAAGAAGGUCUUCGGAUUGUAAAGCACUUUAAGUUGGGAGGAAGGGCAGUAAAUUAAUACUUUGCUGUUUUGACGUUACCGACAGAAUAAGCACCGGCUAACUCUGUGCCAGCAGCCGCGGUAAUACAGAGGGUGCAAGCGUUAAUCGGAAUUACUGGGCGUAAAGCGCGCGUAGGUGGUUCGUUAAGUCGGAUGUGAAAUCCCCGGGCUCAACCUGGGAACUGCAUUCAAAACUGACGAGCUAGAGUAGGGUAGAGGGUGGUGGAAUUUCCUGUGUAGCGGUGAAAUGCGUAGAUAUAGGAAGGAACACCAGUGGCGAAGGCGACCACCUGGACUGAUACUGACACUGAGGUGCGAAAGCGUGGGGAGCAAACA